This 491-nucleotide ribosomal RNA is filed under the name uncultured soil bacterium. Its description in RNAcentral is "bacterial SSU rRNA". It matches the Rfam family "Bacterial small subunit ribosomal RNA", at positions 98 to 633 of the family's 1533-position model. The record is from RNAcentral.
GCGAACGGGUGAGUAAUAUAUCGGAACGUGCCCAAUUGUGGGGGAUAACGUAGAGAAAUUUACGCUAAUACCGCAUACGCUAAGGGAAAGCGGCGCAAUUGGAGCGGCUGAUAUCAGAUUAGCUUGUUGGUGAGGUAAAAGCUCACCAAGGCGACGAUCUGUAGCUGGUUUGAGAGAACGACCAGCCACACUGGGACUGAGACACGGCCCAGACUCCUACGGGAGGCAGCAGUGGGGAAUUUUGGACAAUGGGCGAAAGCCUGAUCCAGCAAUGCCGCGUGCAGGAAGAAGGCCUUCGGGUUGUAAACUGCUUUUGUACGGAACGAAUGACGGUACCGUAAGACUAAGCACCGGCUAACUACGUGCCAGCAGCCGCGGUAAUACGUAGGGUGCAAGCGUUAAUCGGAAUUACUGGGCGUAAAGCGUGCGCAGGCGGUUAUGUAAGACAGUUGUGAAAUCCCCGGGCUCAAACUGGGAAUUGCAUCUGUGAC